Molecule: ribosomal RNA, 277 nt
Filed under: uncultured archaeon
Lineage: Archaea
Description: partial 16S rRNA
Rfam family: Archaeal small subunit ribosomal RNA
Source: RNAcentral
GAGACCCUCGUCAAUAAUUGCUAGUUCUCAUUUCGAUGAGAACGCACACUAUUGAGACUGCUCCUGUAAAGGAGAGGAAGGUGAGGACGACGUCAGGUCAGUAUGCCCCGAAUGUCCUGGGCAACACGCGAGCUGCAAUGGUUCGGGCAAUGAGCUGCGACACCGAAAGGUGAAGCCAAUCUCCUAAACCGAGCCUCAGUUCAGAUUGAGGAUUGUAACUCAUCCUCAUGAAGCCGGAAUCUCUAGUAACCGUAUUUUAUCAUGGUACGGUGAAUAC